Molecule: ribosomal RNA, 421 nt
Filed under: uncultured bacterium
Lineage: Bacteria
Description: partial 16S ribosomal RNA
Rfam family: Bacterial small subunit ribosomal RNA
Source: RNAcentral
AAUUAUGGACAAUUGGGGAAACCCUUAUCCCGCCAUCCCGCGUGUAAGCUGAAGGCCUUCGGGUUGUUAAGUUCUUUUGGCAGAGAAGAAAAGGUAUCUUAUAAUACGAGAUACUGAUGACGGUAUCUGUAGAAUAAGCACCGGUCAACUACGUUCCAGCAGCCGCGGUAAUACGCAGGGUGCAAGCGUCAAGCGGAAUUACUGCGGGUAAAGGGGGAGUAGGGGGUACGGAAAGAAAGAUGUGAAAACGCAGGGCUCAACCGUGAAACUGCAUUUUUAACUGACAAGCUGGAGUAUGAGAGAAGGGGGUAGAAUUCCACGUGUAGCAGUGAAAUGCGUAGAUAUGUGGAAGAAUACCGGUGGCGAAGGCAGGCCCCUGGGCUAAUACUGACGCUCAGACACGAAAGCGUGGGGAGCAAAC